RNAcentral lists this transfer RNA (88 nucleotides) under bacterium. Its description in RNAcentral is "tRNA-Ser". It matches the Rfam family "tRNA". From Rfam's summary of the family: Transfer RNA (tRNA) molecules are approximately 80 nucleotides in length. Their secondary structure includes four short double-helical elements and three loops (D, anti-codon, and T loops). The record is from RNAcentral. RNAcentral also lists the same sequence under 1 other name.
GGAGGGAUGGCAGAGCGGACGAUUGCGACGGUCUUGAAAACCGUUGGGUCGCAAGACCCCGGGGGUUCGAAUCCCCCUCCCUCCGCCA